Molecule: ribosomal RNA, 535 nt
Filed under: Schizoptera (Schizoptera) sp. 6 SL-2016
Lineage: Eukaryota; Metazoa; Arthropoda; Insecta; Hemiptera; Schizopteridae
Description: eukaryotic LSU rRNA
Rfam family: Eukaryotic large subunit ribosomal RNA
Source: RNAcentral
CGCCAAGGAGUCUAACAUGUGCGCAAGUCAUUGGGUGAUAAAACCUAAAGGCAAAACAAAAAUGAAAAAAGCUUAAGCUUUAUUAGGGAGGAUGACUAUUUAACUAGAAAUAUUUCUUUUUAGUAGUAGUCCGCACUCCCGGGGCGUCUAUUACUCAUUGCGAGUAAAGGCGCACCAAGAGCGUACACGUUGGGACCCGAAAGAUGGUGAACUAUGCUUGGCCAGGAUGAAGCCAGGGGAAACUCUGGUGGAGGUCCGCAGCGAUUCUGACGUGCAAAUCGAUCGUCUGAGCUAAGUAUAGGGGCGAUAGACUUAUCGAAUUAUCUAGUAGCUGGUUCCCUCCGAAGUUUCCCUCAGGAUAGCUGGUGCCGAUGAUGAUAAAUGAGUCUCAUUCGGUAAAGCGAAUGAUUAGAGGCCUUGGGGUCGAAACGACCUCAACCUAUUCUCAAACUUUAAAUGAAUGAGAGCUUUGGCUUGCUUAAAAAGUGAAGCCAAAGACUCGGAUCUAGGUGCCAAGUGGGCCAAUUUUGGUAAA